RNAcentral lists this unclassified non-coding RNA (204 nucleotides) under Hevea brasiliensis (rubber tree). Lineage: Eukaryota; Viridiplantae; Streptophyta; Magnoliopsida; Malpighiales; Euphorbiaceae. The record is from RNAcentral.
UGGUCGCGUGGCUGGAGGCUGGCGUAAAGCCGAAGUCCGAAUUCCGCAUCGGUACCGAACACGAGAAGACGCCGUUCACGCUGGAGGGCCACAGGCCCGUGCCUUAUGAAGGCACGCGCGGCAUCGGCGCUCUGCUGGAGGGAAUGCAACUCCUGCUCGGCUGGGAGCCGAUCACGGAGAACGGGAAAAUCAUCGGGCUGCAUG